This 22-nucleotide microRNA is filed under the name Ophiophagus hannah (king cobra). Its description in RNAcentral is "oha-miR-2985a-3p". The record is from miRBase by way of RNAcentral. Lineage: Eukaryota; Metazoa; Chordata; Lepidosauria; Squamata; Elapidae.
UGUUAUAGUAUUCCACCUACCC